This 492-nucleotide ribosomal RNA is filed under the name uncultured bacterium. Its description in RNAcentral is "bacterial SSU rRNA". It matches the Rfam family "Bacterial small subunit ribosomal RNA", at positions 501 to 991 of the family's 1533-position model. The record is from RNAcentral.
CUACGUGCCAGCAGCCGCGGUAAUACGGAGGAUGCGAGCGUUAUCCGGAAUCAUUGGGUUUAAAGGGUCUGUAGGCGGGCAAAUAAGUCAGAGGUGAAAGCGCUUAGCUCAACUAAGCAACUGCCUUUGAAACUGUUAGUCUUGAAUUAUUGUGAAGUAGUUGGAAUGUGUAGUGUAGCGGUGAAAUGCUUAGAUAUUACACAGAACACCGAUAGCGAAGGCAUAUUACUAACGAUAUAUUGACGCUGAUGGACGAAAGCGUGGGGAGCGAACAGGAUUAGAUACCCUGGUAGUCCACGCUGUAAACGAUGGAUACUAGCUGUUGGAGGUAUCGACCCCUUCAGUAGCGAAGCUAACGCGUUAAGUAUCCCGCCUGUGGAGUACGGCCGCAAGGCUAAAACAUAAAGGAAUUGACGGGGACCCGCACAAGCGGUGGAUUAUGUUCUUUAAUUCGAUGAUAACCGAAGAACCUUACCAGGGCUUGACAUCCAG